This 460-nucleotide ribosomal RNA is filed under the name uncultured bacterium. RNAcentral's name for it is "partial 16S ribosomal RNA". It matches the Rfam family "Bacterial small subunit ribosomal RNA", at positions 338 to 795 of the family's 1533-position model. The record is from RNAcentral.
CCUACGGGAGGCAGCAGUGAGGAAUAUUGGUCAAUGGACGCAAGUCUGAACCAGCCAUGCCGCGUGCAGGAAGACGGCUCUAUGAGUUGUAAACUUCUUUUGUACGAGGGUAAACGCAGAUACGUGUAUCUGUCUGAAAGUAUCGUACGAAUAAGGAUCGGCUAACUCCGUGCCAGCAGCCGCGGUAAUACGGAGGAUCCGAGCGUUAUCCGGAUUUAUUGGGUUUAAAGGGUGCGUAGGCGGUCGGAUAAGUUAGAGGUGAAAUCCCGAGGCUCAACUUCGGAAUUGCCUUUGAUACUGUUCGUCUAGAGAGUAGUUGCGGUAGGCGGAAUGCAUGGUGUAGCGGUGAAAUGCUUAGAGAUCAUACAGAACACCGAUUGCGAAGGCAGCUUACCAAGCUACUUCUGACGUUGAGGCACGAAAGCGUGGGGAGCAAACAGGAUUAGAUACCCUUGUAGUC